ACAUCAGCCAGCGGAGUAUUUUUUUUUAUCACGGAGUAGUUAUCAACUACUUUAUUAAAUUUAUAUAUUAUUAUUUUAAUAUUUAUUAUUUACGUUAUUUCACUGUGACUGUUGUGAUUUGUGUAUAAUAUUAUAUUUAAUUAGUUAUAAUUUAGUUAAACAAAAUACUUUUAAAAUGAGCGAAAAGAAGAAAACAGUAACGAUGUAUGAUUUCAUUCAAAAGAGUACAAAUAAAACUAAUAUUGCUAACGACAAAACUAUACCUAAAGAACUUCAUGACAAUGUGUUACCCAGUACCUCAAAUUCAAAAAUAGUCAAUCCUGACAACUCAGCUACAUCUGUAGAAGGUAUUAUUAUUGAUGUUCAUUGACAUUUACAUUUAAAAUGUAUAAUUUAACAAAAAUAGUGUACACUGAAUUUCAAAUUACCAAUUUUUGUUUUUUUUUAACCUAAUUGAUUUGAGUUCUAUGUAUUUAAUAUAGUUGAUGAAUUUUAGUAAUAAAUGUUUUAAUUAUGUUGGAAAGUAAAUAUACGGUAUAUAAUGGUAAAUAAUUGUUAAAUGUUAGUACAUGAGUUAAAAUUUGUGAUUAAAUAUUUAUUUAUUAAAACAAAAA
Molecule: long non-coding RNA, 614 nt
Organism: Aphis gossypii (cotton aphid)
Lineage: Eukaryota; Metazoa; Arthropoda; Insecta; Hemiptera; Aphididae
Exons: 2
Source: RefSeq, a predicted model, not a curated record